This is a non-coding RNA of Phascolarctos cinereus (koala), 1135 nucleotides long. NCBI's taxonomy places the organism in Eukaryota, Metazoa, Chordata, Mammalia, Diprotodontia, Phascolarctidae. The record is from RefSeq and is a predicted model, not a curated record.
ACCUGGCACGUCGCAGGACAGCUGUCACUUAACGUUGUUGAACUGAAUCAAGCUUUUGACUUUGUACGCUAUAAACACCAAUGUAACGAUGGCAACUUGGAACUAAAACUGAGUGUCACACAGGAGGACAAUGUAACAGUGUAUGCAGCGUGUGAGCAGGCUGUAACACGUAACCAAGGAGGAGCUAUGAAGAAGUAAAGGAUAUCAUUAAGGAAUUGUAGGACAGAACUAGGCUGGUCAUGGAACAAGAGCAGGAAUGACAGUUUUGGAUGAUCUCCCCUCAAAAGAAAACCACCGCUUCCUGUCCACUCUACCUCUCUGUUUUUCGUUACCAAGUAAUAAAUACUACAAGCAACUGAUACAGGUAGGCAGUUUGUCUGAAGGCCUUCAGAACAAGUGCCCUCCUGGCUCUAUCUACAGGACACCACAUUUUUAGAUGAAAAAUGAAAAAUUCAGCCAAAAAUACAUAUAUUUUCAAAUCAUCCAGAUGGCUGAUAUUUUUACAGGACUUUGCUGCUGGCCUCUUUCACCUCAUUCCUGGAAUACUGCAAAAAUUUGCUGGUUUGCCUCCCUGUUUCAAAUUUCUCCUCAUUUCAAACUAUCCUCCAAUCAGUUGACAAAGAUGUCUGCCUAAAACAAAGGUCUGACCAUAUCACCACCCCUUUCCCAUUUCAAUAGACUCCAGUGACCAGUAUCAAAUAGAAAAUCCUUUGGUUUUUUUUUAAGAGCUUUUCCACCUAGCUACCUCCUCCCUUUCCAGUCUGCUUACUUUUUACUUCCCUCCACUAUUCUAUGGCUCAGAAAUACUAGCCUUUCCUCUUUUCCUUAUAUACAACACUCCAUCUCCUGACUGUAACUUUUCACUGGAUGACCACCACACCUGGAAUACUCUCCCCUCCCACCUCUGUCUCCUGGUUUCCAUGGCUUCCUUCAAGAGUAAAUUCAAACCCCACUUUGUGCAGCAGGCCAUCUUCAAUUCACACCCCCAACCCCAUUUCUUGCUAUUCUUUUUGUCACCAGUGGCUAGCACGAUGCCUAGAAUACAGUAAGAACUUAAUAAGUGUCCUAUUAACUUGAUGAUAUGCACUGUUCCUUAGCACCUAGAGUCUUGAUAAAAGUCUACAUAGCUCCUUUA